This is a long non-coding RNA of Camelina sativa (false flax), 382 nucleotides long. RefSeq lists it as uncharacterized. The record is from RefSeq and is a predicted model, not a curated record. NCBI's taxonomy places the organism in Eukaryota, Viridiplantae, Streptophyta, Magnoliopsida, Brassicales, Brassicaceae.
UAUUUCGCCAGUUUGGAUGAAGUUCUGAAACAUCAUUGACCUGAGCCAUGUGAGAUGAAACAGGAGAAAAUGCCUUAAUUUCCGAGACAUGAGUGAAACCACCAUUGGCGGCAUCUCUGCUAUUAAGUAUUCAAGAGUAUACAAGAGUCAAGAUACAUUGAAGAUGGAGAAGUAGCAGCACAUCUUUUGACAUGGUAUAACAUAAUGACCCAAUGACCUAGAUCAUUCUCAUCCUUCACCAUCUCUCUUGAUCUCAGCAUGUUUUUAUGCUGUUUUGAUUCUUGAACAAACUCAAAAAAACAAAAAAAAAACAAAACAAAAACUGUCUUAUAUUAGCUCUUUUCAUUGGACACAUCAUAGCUCUUUGUGAAUAUUUCUUACG